UGUCGGUGACCUGAUUCCGCACCGCACGCUCCUCCCAGCUCGGUGAGGCUCCCAUGUGAUCCAUUCUUCCCCCUAAAUAAAGUUGACAAAUUCGGCUGGGCUCAGAUGGUGCUGCCGAGGGCGAGCGCGGCGCUCCCACCCUCGCUGCAGCUGCGGCAGCGCCGGCUCGGGGCCGCCGCGGGGCCGGGAUCCUGCCGGAUCCUGCCCGGGAUCCUGCCCGGGAUCCUGCCGGGAACCUGCCCGGGUCCUGCCCGGCAUCCUGCCCUGCCCGGAGCCGGAGGACGCGGCCGGAGCCGGAACCCGAGAGCUGUGGGCACAGAUGAGAUGAGAUCCAGGCCAAGAAAACAAGGAAUCCCAAAGUGGCAGCUGGCUGAGCCCUCCCUGCCCCUUGAUGAAGAAGGCAGCACGUUCCUGGCCCCAGCACUGGGAUAAAGCUGUCCUGUGCUGGACACUGUGUGCCCCAGGCUGCUGAGCCUCCCCAUGCCAGCCAGAGCUGGCUCUGCAUGCUGAGGGCACUCCUGCAUCUGCUUCUCCAGCGUCCUGACAGCUCCCCAGUCCCAAUGAGGCCCAAGCUGAGGGAGGCUCCUGGAGCUGCACUUUUGGCCUCAGCAGAUUACGAGAACUUUGCUGGUGUGAACUCCACCAGGGACACGGAGAGCGAGCAGCUGGAGGGGUCCCUCUCGUCCACCAUCGCCCUCGUCGUCGUGCUGGUCAUCAUCUUCUCCCUGGUGCUCACAUCCCUCAUCACCUACUGCUUCCACAAGUGGAAACUCAGAGGGAAAAGACUGCAGAAAGCACAAGAGGAGUAUCAGAGAGACCAAGAAAAGAGCAGUUGCCAAAGCACACCUGGACUUGUUUCAUAAAGAGGGAAAACCAGGAUCCACCAUGAAGUACUCUUGAAUUACCUGAAAAUUAAAAUCAUGAGAGAACUGCAAAUUUGGAAUUUCCAAGCAAAUACAUUCUUGUUUUAUCUCAUUUCUAAGAGUUGUUAGCAGUUUGGAGAUUUCCUACAGCUUUAUUAUACAUAUAUAUAUUUAUACAUUUAAUCUCAUUUGUGCAGAGUAAAACCAAUGCAAUGAUGUAUUUUUAAUCUUUUCUGUCAUUUUAAUCCUCACUGGACAAACUGACAGUACCUGCGAGGAUGGAUGGGCCUUGGCACAGAUUCCCAGAGCAGCUGUGGCUGCCCCUGGAUCCCUGGAGGUGUCCAAGGCCAGGCUGGAGCAGCCUGGCACAGUGGGAGCUGUCCCAGCCAUGGCAGGGCUGGAAUGGGAUGAGUUUUUAGCUCCAUUCCAACCCUAACCACACUUUUCUGUGUAUUGCUGAACCAGAAAUUUCCAAUCUGUGGCUUUCACUCUUUCACAAACCCCCUGGAAGGUGACGAGGCAGAUUUGGGGUAUCCGAAUACCCCAAAGUGGUAUUUGGAGAAUGGUUUUACCUGCAGGAGGGCUGCUUUAGGCCAGCUACAAGAAGGUUUUUGCACUGAGGGUGGGCAGUAGAAUUCCCAGAGAAGCUGUGGCUGCCCCUGGAUCCCUGGCAGUGCCCAGGGCCAGGCUGGAUCACCCUGGGACAGUGGGAGGUGUCCCUGCCAUGGCAGGGGGGUUAGGUGGCCUUUGGAAGGUCUCCUCCAACUCCAGCUCCUCAAUGAUCCUACACUGGACCUCUGGGAGCACAGAGGAUUUGCUCAGUAGCUGGAAAUCCAGAUUCAGAUAUCCCAAAGCAGCUUGGCUGCCCCAGCCCAGGGAGCUGUGCUGCUCUGGGGCAGUGGGUGGUGGAGGCAGUGGGUCCCAGCUGGUGCUGCCAGGCUGCUCCUCAGGAGCUGCUCCUGGGCCCACUGUGACAUUUCAGUGCUUCCUCCACGUCAGGGUUGGGCUGAGAGCUGCUCCUGGCAUUCCCACAAGUGGAUUAAGGACAUCCAGUGUAAAUGGAACUCAAAAUCCUAAGGGAAGAGAGAGCCUAAACCCCUUUUUUAAUUAGGCAUCAAAUCCUUUUUAAACCACCCAUACCACGGAGUGUUUCUAUUUCCAUAGCCUGUCCUGUGAUGUCACAGAGAAAUGACAGAUUUCUUGUGAGUAGCACAUCUAAGUAAUCUUUUCUAACCAAGUGAUGGAUGUAAUAUUAAUAAAUGUCAUUGUUUUAUAAAGUAGAAACCAUGUGAAGUUGCCACCAGCCCCCUGCUCAAAUCUACAGCUUGCUUGCAAUUACCAGUACUGCUGUAUGUAUUUUUAAACAAGCUAUAAUACUGUGAUGAUGCUGUAAACUUACCUCUGUAGGAAAAAAAAUGUUCUAUUUCAAAAUGUCAGGAUGAAGGAUGUAAAUGUUCUGAAAGUGCUAUCAACAACAACAACAAAAAAAGAAUUUCCACAGAAUAUUCUAAAGGAUUCUGUUACAUGCUACAAAUCUAUUUUACAAGGGUAUUUAUGGAUCAUACAGCCUAGUCUGUGAGAACAGUACUAUUUUAUUACAGAAUAAAUAAAUGAAUAAAUAAGCAGUGACUAUCCAUGCCCAGAA
Long non-coding RNA from Passer domesticus (house sparrow), 2508 nucleotides. RefSeq lists it as uncharacterized. The record is from RefSeq and is a predicted model, not a curated record. The transcript is spliced from 3 exons. NCBI's taxonomy places the organism in Eukaryota, Metazoa, Chordata, Aves, Passeriformes, Passeridae.